ACUACUCCAUCGCGCAGUCUCCCAAAACGAUCGGCGAGAAGUUUUUGUUGCUCUCCCCGUGGUCAUUCUCGGAAAGACUGAUCUUGGUGGGGUUUUGGUCAUUAUUUCUACUCUGAACUUUGUUACGGGAGUUGCAAUGGGAAAUCUUGCGUUUCUCUCAUGUUUGGCGGCUCAGUAAUUGGGGGAAGAUUUCUCCUUUCGCUGCUGAUAGUAGAAAUUUCCAGGUUUUGAGAACCUGCAUUGACAAUUUCUGCAAGGGGUGGAGAAGGGUGAAAGUGGCGGAUGCAAACAAGAAGCUGAUGCUAGAAGAUGUUUUUUGGGCGAUAUAACUAACCUGGGGAAAAGAGGGCUUCUUUUAGAUCCAAAAAAGGCUUUUUUUUUCAGGACAAAAGAUUGACAAAAGCAUGGAAGAAACUAUCGAGGAUAGUUUUGGAGGAGAAUUAGAUGGAAAGGAAAGAGCUUCUAUGGAAUGGAAGAAAAACAUGGAUGAUAAACAUGGUUCUUUGCUCAACAUAAAUCGGAGAGGCUGUUUCCCUUUCUAUGCUAAGCAGACAUGCCAACCUAUGCCUUCCAAUAUCAUAGGUAACUAUGUCCAUGGAAAUAUGACAUCUGAUUCCAUUUCCUUGCAAAAGAGUUCUGAUUCAUUAGCAAAUGAAGCUACUAACAAGUUAAAACUAGGCUUUAUAUCCACCAGGUCUGUGCCUCCACAAUUUGAUAACUUGUUUGUAACUGAUCCAGAAGAAGACUAUUUAGAUGGUCAUAACUCCGAUAGUGCUGGUUCCACUAGAUACUUUUUCCAGACAAAAGAUAUUGAAAAUAAUUCUACUGCAUCAAAAUCUACUGGCACAGAUUGUACAAUAUUGAAGGAAGGCAAUCUUGAUAGCUGUGAUAACCCCUUGAAGUGCCAAAAACCAUCUGGCUCAUUGAAAGGCAGUAUGGAUACUGGUAUAAAUGAUCCCAGUUGUGGCAAAGUUAGAAUGCCGGAAGAAUCUUGUAAAUGCUCUUUUUGUCUCAAAGCUGCUUACAUAUGGGCAGACCUGCAUUAUCAGGAUACUAGAGCCAAACUCGCUCAAUUGAAGAAAAGUAAAAGGCUUGCAAGGUCUUUAAAAGCACGAAGUUGCAGCAACAAAAGUAGUAUCAAGACUGCUCAAAGCAUCUCAAAUAGAUCCCCCUCACUGGAGUCUCAAUUAACUCAAGAAUGGCAACCACUUUUCCUUUUCACAGAGAAUAUCAUUGUGCGUGAAACUGCUGAGCUUGUGGUUUUCAUUUGAUUGGAAAUCUUUUCUUUUAUGAUAUGAGGAUUUGCAUUUUAUGGUUCACAGAUGGAAUUUUAUCAAAAGCAUGACAAAUUCCUCAGGCUGAAAGAGUUGAAGGAGAAUUGCAAGAGAGAUUUGGAGAAAAUUAGCUGGAUUCCUUCAUAGAUAUGAUAUCAUAAAUCAUUUCCAAUUUUUUUGAUUCAGCUGUUAGCAUUAUAGAUAUUUUGGAAUAUAUGGAUAUCUUGGAAUAUAUGGUGCAUAAAUAUUAGGAUAUCUUUUGUAUA
RNA transcript from Zingiber officinale, 1540 nucleotides. RefSeq lists it as uncharacterized. NCBI's taxonomy places the organism in Eukaryota, Viridiplantae, Streptophyta, Magnoliopsida, Zingiberales, Zingiberaceae. The record is from RefSeq and is a predicted model, not a curated record. The transcript is spliced from 6 exons.